GCCGCUAUAGCUCAGUUGGUAGAGCACCCGUUUUGUAAUCGGGAUGUCCGGAGUUCGAAUCUUCGUGGCGGCA
RNAcentral lists this transfer RNA (73 nucleotides) under Robiginitomaculum sp. Its description in RNAcentral is "tRNA-Thr". It matches the Rfam family "tRNA". Rfam says of the family: Transfer RNA (tRNA) molecules are approximately 80 nucleotides in length. Lineage: Bacteria; Pseudomonadati; Pseudomonadota; Alphaproteobacteria; Maricaulales; Robiginitomaculaceae. The record is from RNAcentral.